AUACGGAGGAUGCGAGCGUUAUCCGGAUUUAUUGGGUUUAAAGGGAGCGUAGGUGGGAUAUCAAGUCAGCUGUGAAAGUUUGGGGCUCAACCUUAAAAUUGCAGUUGAUACUGGUUUCCUUGAGUACGGUACAGGUGGGCGGAAUUCGUGGUGUAGCGGUGAAAUGCUUAGAUAUCACGAAGAACUCCGAUCGCGAAGGCAGCUCACCGGGCCGGAACUGACACUGAUGCUCGAAAGUGCGGGUAUCAAACAGGAUUAGAUACCCUGGUAGUCCGCACAGUAAACGAUGAAUACUCGCUGUUUGCGAUACACUGUAAGCGGCCAAGCGAAAGCGUUAAGUAUUCCACCUGGGGAGUACGCCGGCAACGGUGAAACUUAAAGGAAUUGGCGGGG
Molecule: ribosomal RNA, 393 nt
Filed under: uncultured bacterium
Lineage: Bacteria
Description: partial 16S ribosomal RNA
Rfam family: Bacterial small subunit ribosomal RNA
Source: RNAcentral